RNAcentral lists this ribosomal RNA (244 nucleotides) under Escherichia coli. Its description in RNAcentral is "partial 16S ribosomal RNA". It matches the Rfam family "Bacterial small subunit ribosomal RNA", at positions 1 to 239 of the family's 1533-position model. The record is from RNAcentral. Lineage: Bacteria; Pseudomonadati; Pseudomonadota; Gammaproteobacteria; Enterobacterales; Enterobacteriaceae.
UUAAAUUGAAGAGUUUGAUCAUGGCUCAGAUUGAACGCUGGCGGCAGGCCUAACACAUGCAAGUCGAACGGUAACAGGAAACAGCUUGCUGUUUCGCUGACGAGUGGCGGACGGGUGAGUAAUGUCUGGGAAACUGCCUGAUGGAGGGGGAUAACUACUGGAAACGGUAGCUAAUACCGCAUAAUGUCGCAAGACCAAAGAGGGGGACCUUCGGGCCUCUUGCCAUCGGAUGUGCCCAGAUGGG